ACCUUAAACCACAUUGACUGAUGGAGUACCUUAUGAAAUGGCUAUCACCAAACUGAACUUUAUUUAUGUCUCCAUGAGAAAUACCUUUCUUUCUUAAACUCUUACUGAUGCCGGUGUAUAUCCUACCAUUCAAUUACCACUAUAUAAAGCUAUAUAAGGACGCUGUAUUGUUCUAUGCCACCAUUCUCUAUCAAGAAAUGGCUUAAGUUUUAAAAAGGAAAGAAGAGACCACAAGUCCUUUAAAGAAUUUUGAAUCGGAGUACCUAAAAAUAACAGAAAACUGUUUUAACUUCAUAACCAGAAUAUCCAUCUGGCCCAAUCAGAGAAAACAAGAGCUGAAAAUGGGCAUUCUGUAUUAGGCACACCCACUAACUACCAAGCUUACAGCUUUUGUCUGCUGAGCAUUUGGAUUUCUUAUGGCAUGUCCUUCAUCCAGGAUCACUC
Long non-coding RNA from Hyaena hyaena (striped hyena), 444 nucleotides. RefSeq lists it as uncharacterized. NCBI's taxonomy places the organism in Eukaryota, Metazoa, Chordata, Mammalia, Carnivora, Hyaenidae. The record is from RefSeq and is a predicted model, not a curated record. The transcript is spliced from 3 exons.